CCUACGGGUGGCAGCAGUGAGGAAUAUUGGUCAAUGGGCGGAAGCCUGAACCAGCCAAGUCGCGUGAGGGACUAAGGCCCUACGGGUCGUAAACCUCUUUUGCCGGGGAGCAGUGCCCAGCUCGCGAGCUGGGAGGGAGCGUACCCGGAGAAAAAGCAUCGGCUAACUCCGUGCAAGCAGCCGCGGUAAUACGGGGGACGGGAGGGUUAUCCGGAUUUAUGGGGUUUAAGGGGUGCGUAGGCGGGCCUUCAGGCCGGCGGUAAAAUUGCGGGGCUCAACCCCGCCGAGCCGUCGGAACCGGGGGCCUUGAGUACCGGAGAGGUACGCGGAAUGCGUGGUGUAGCGGUGAAAUGCGUAGAUAUCACGCAGAACCCCGAUUGCGAAGGCAGCGUGCCGGCCGGUCACUGACGCUGAGGCACGAAAGCGCGGGUAUCGAACAGGAUUAGAUACCCGAGUAGUC
Molecule: ribosomal RNA, 460 nt
Filed under: uncultured bacterium
Lineage: Bacteria
Description: partial 16S ribosomal RNA
Rfam family: Bacterial small subunit ribosomal RNA
Source: RNAcentral